This is a long non-coding RNA of Budorcas taxicolor (takin), 474 nucleotides long. RefSeq lists it as uncharacterized. The record is from RefSeq and is a predicted model, not a curated record. NCBI's taxonomy places the organism in Eukaryota, Metazoa, Chordata, Mammalia, Artiodactyla, Bovidae. The transcript is spliced from 3 exons.
GCGAGGCCGCUCAACCGGCUCCCCUCGCCUAGCUGCAGCAAGUCGGGACGGGAGGGGCCUGGGCGGAGCCCCUAACUCUGGCAAAGUGAAGCUCCUGACCACGCCCCCGCAAAUUCUGUUAAGUACUUUCACCCCCUGACCUUUGAGGAUGGAGAAUGCUGGAACUUGAGGAAAUCGUUUUACGUUCCCAGCUACAAAGGAAAAAGAUGGUUACCCACCACCACGGCAACACCUCUAAGUCUUAUUUCCCCACUUCCUGUCUUCAGAUUCUGAAUUUUCUCCCUUUGUUUCUCUGGAGAGAGUUUGUAAGCACUGACUGCCAUUCUGAAAGAAGUUCCUUCUGUAGGUUUGAGUGAACACCUGUCAGUCAUCUUCGUAAUACCGGGUUGGAUACCUAAAGCUGCGGGGGGAAAGGAGAAAUCAGGAGAACUUUCAGGACGAGACUGUAUCCAACACUUCAGAUAUGGCAGAAAC